GGGAAACGGGCGAAGGGGCCAGCCUCAGGCCCCGUAUCAAACUUUCGGGGUA
Non-coding RNA from Fukomys damarensis (Damara mole-rat), 52 nucleotides. The record is from Rfam. Lineage: Eukaryota; Metazoa; Chordata; Mammalia; Rodentia; Bathyergidae.